GGGUUGUGAGGUUAAGCGACUAAGCGUACACGGUGGAUGCCCUGGCAGUCAGAGGCGAUGAAGGACGUGCUAAUCUGCGAUAAGCGUCGGUAAGGUGAUAUGAACCGUUAUAACCGGCGAUUUCCGAAUGGGGAAACCCAGUGUGUUUCGACACACUAUCAUUAACUGAAUCCAUAGGUUAAUGAGGCGAACCGGGGGAACUGAAACAUCUAAGUACCCCGAGGAAAAGAAAUCAACCGAGAUUCCCCCAGUAGCGGCGAGCGAACGGGGAGGAGCCCAGAGCCUGAAUCAGUGUGUGUGUUAGUGGAAGCGUCUGGAAAGGCGCGCGAUACAGGGUGACAGCCCCGUACACAAAAAUGCACAUACUGUGAGCUCGAUGAGUAGGGCGGGACACGUGGUAUCCUGUCUGAAUAUGGGGGGACCAUCCUCCAAGGCUAAAUACUCCUGACUGACCGAUAGUGAACCAGUACCGUGAGGGAAAGGCGAAAAGAACCCCGGCGAGGGGAGUGAAAAAGAACCUGAAACCGUGUACGUACAAGCAGUGGGAGCCUCUUUAUGGGGUGACUGCGUACCUU
Molecule: ribosomal RNA, 575 nt
Filed under: Escherichia coli
Lineage: Bacteria; Pseudomonadati; Pseudomonadota; Gammaproteobacteria; Enterobacterales; Enterobacteriaceae
Description: bacterial LSU rRNA
Rfam family: Bacterial large subunit ribosomal RNA
Source: RNAcentral